GAUGAACGCUGGCGGCGUGCUUAACACAUGCAAGUCGAACGGAGUGCUCUUGAAAGAGGAUUCGUCCAAUUGAUAGAGUUACUUAGUGGCGGACGGGUGAGUAACGCGUGAGGAACCUGCCUUGGAGUGGGGAAUAACACAGUGAAAAUUGUGCUAAUACCGCAUAAGCCCACGGUGCCGCAUGGCACAGCGGGAAAAGGAUUUAUUCGCUUCAGGAUGGACUCGCGUCCAAUUAGCUAGUUGGUGAGGUAACGGCCCACCAAGGCGACGAUUGGUAGCCGGACUGAGAGGUUGAACGGCCACAUUGGGACUGAGACACGGCCCAG
RNAcentral lists this ribosomal RNA (326 nucleotides) under uncultured bacterium. Its description in RNAcentral is "bacterial SSU rRNA". It matches the Rfam family "Bacterial small subunit ribosomal RNA", at positions 28 to 334 of the family's 1533-position model. The record is from RNAcentral.